CCCGAGCUGCCGGCGCGGCCCAGCCGCUGUCGGCUCCCGGGAGGGCGGCGGGUCGGUCCCGGCGCGGGCAGCAGGGCAGCGCCCAGCAGCCGCCGCCUCCUGGGGCGGGGAGCGUCCUGCCGUUCUGCGCCUCUGCCGAGGCCGCUCCCGAGCCUUGACAAACAGGACAACAUUUGGAGGUGCUUCCGUUUCCUUCUGUUACCUCAGUUCUAUGGAAAAGCAAAUCCAAGAAUCUAGUCACAGAGCAGGUAAAUAAGUUGGUGAUUUAUAGUGACUACACACUUUAUUUCCCAAGCGGCCUACCGGAGCAAUAAGCAUUGCAAAACUGGUACCUGAUGACAGUAAUUGUACCAUCCAGCACUAAAAUCAGAUGAUGGCUGAAAGAGACCACAGUGAGGCAAGGACAUCUUGGUGAGAAAUUGCAAAUGAAUUCACAGAAUUGUUGAGGUUUGAAGGGACCUCUUGAGAUCAAGUGCAACCCACCUGCCCAGGCAGGGCCAGCUAGAGCAGGUUGUCGAGGACCGUGUCCAGUUGAGUUUCGAUUGUCGCCACAGAUGGAGACUCCACCACCUCUGCCAGUGUACGACAUCCCUUACAAUAAAAAAAGUGUUUUCUUGUGUUUCAGUGGAA
Molecule: long non-coding RNA, 630 nt
Organism: Gymnogyps californianus (California condor)
Lineage: Eukaryota; Metazoa; Chordata; Aves; Accipitriformes; Cathartidae
Exons: 3
Source: RefSeq, a predicted model, not a curated record